GCGCAAUCACUUGUCUCCUAAAUAGAGACUAGUAUGAACGGUUAAAUGAGGAUCAACCUGUCUCUUAUGGACAAUUAAUGAAACUGAACUUCCAGUACAAAUGCUGGAAUAAUUUUAUAAGACGAGAAGACCCUGUGGAACUUCAAACAAACCAUGAAACUACCAAUCGUAUAUAGUUUUUAGUUGGGGCGACUUUGGAAACAAAAAAAACUUCCAAGCAUAGGACCACAACUCCACAAAUACGGCUAACAAGCCAAAUUAUUAGCUAGACCCGGAAAAAUUUUUUCGGAAAAACGAA
This 298-nucleotide ribosomal RNA is filed under the name Broadleysaurus major (rough-scaled plated lizard). RNAcentral's name for it is "partial 16S small subunit ribosomal RNA". It matches the Rfam family "Archaeal large subunit ribosomal RNA", at positions 2036 to 2489 of the family's 2987-position model. Lineage: Eukaryota; Metazoa; Chordata; Lepidosauria; Squamata; Gerrhosauridae. The record is from RNAcentral.